RNAcentral lists this ribosomal RNA (433 nucleotides) under uncultured bacterium. Its description in RNAcentral is "partial 16S ribosomal RNA". It matches the Rfam family "Bacterial small subunit ribosomal RNA", at positions 29 to 507 of the family's 1533-position model. The record is from RNAcentral.
AACGAACGCUGGCGGCAUGCCUAACACAUGCAAGUCGAACGAGACCUUCGGGUCUAGUGGCGCACGGGUGCGUAACGCGUGGGAACCUGCCCUUAGGUUCGGAAUAACUCCCCGACAGGGGUGCUAAUACCGGAUAAUGUCCUCGGACCCAAGAUUUAUCGCCUUUGGAUGGGCCCGCGUUGGAUUAGCUAGUUGGUAGGGUAAAAGCCUACCAAGGCGACGAUCCAUAGCUGGUCUGAGAGGAUGAUCAGCCACACUGGGACUGAGACACGGCCCAGACUCCUACGGGAGGCAGCAGUGGGGAAUAUUGGACAAUGGGGGAAAGCCUGAUCCAGUAAUGCCGGGUGAGUGAUGAAGGCCUGAGGGUUGUAAAGCUCUUUUACCCGGGAUGAUAAUGACAGUACCGGGAGAAUAAGCUCCGGCUAACUCCGUG